This 497-nucleotide ribosomal RNA is filed under the name uncultured bacterium. RNAcentral describes it as "partial 16S ribosomal RNA". It matches the Rfam family "Bacterial small subunit ribosomal RNA", at positions 28 to 507 of the family's 1533-position model. The record is from RNAcentral.
GAUGAACGCUGGCGGCGUGCCUAAUACAUGCAAGUCGAGCGAACAGACGAGGAGCUUGCUCCUCUGACGUUAGCGGCGGACGGGUGAGUAACACGUGGAUAACCUACCUAUAAGACUGGGAUAACUUCGGGAAACCGGAGCUAAUACCGGAUAAUAUAUUGAACCGCAUGGUUCAAUAGUGAAAGACGGUUUUGCUGUCACUUAUAGAUGGAUCCGCGCCGCAUUAGCUAGUUGGUAAGGUAACGGCUUACCAAGGCAACGAUGCGUAGCCGACCUGAGAGGGUGGUCGGCCACACGGGAACUGAGACACGGUCCAGACUCCUACGGGGGGCAGCAGUAGGGAAUCUUCCGCAAUGGGCGAAAGCCUGACGGAGCAACGCCGCGUGAGUGAUGAAGGUCUUCGGAUCGUAAAACUCUGUUAUUAGGGAAGAACAAAUGUGUAAGUAACUAUGCACGUCUUGACGGUACCUGAUCAGAAAGCCACGGCUAACUACGUG